UACGUAGGUGGUCUGUUAAGUCAGAUGUGAAAGCCCCGGGCUUAACCUGGGAACUGCAUUUGAUACUGGCAGACUAGAGUAUGGUAGAGGGGGGUAGAAUUCCUAGUGUAGCGGUGAAAUGCGUAGAUAUUAGGAGGAAUACCAGUGGCGAAGGCGGCCCCCUGGGCCAAUACUGACACUGAGGUACGAAAGCGUGGGUAGCGAACA
This 207-nucleotide ribosomal RNA is filed under the name uncultured bacterium. RNAcentral describes it as "partial 16S ribosomal RNA". It matches the Rfam family "Bacterial small subunit ribosomal RNA", at positions 568 to 774 of the family's 1533-position model. The record is from RNAcentral.